GAAAAAGAAAAUGUUAACCCUGAAUUGAGGUUAUACGGCGAAAAUUUUCCGGCGACUCACGGCACCAAUUCUCUCGCCACCUUCUUCUUGCUUCCACUUCGCGAUUUGAGUUUCUGAAAACAAGCUGUUUCAAUUCGGAGCUCUUUUCAACUUGGUGGCUCGGUGGAUAUGGUUUCUGUUGGUUCGAAAGCUCUAGCUUCUAGGCGACAUAGAAGCUCUAUUUCAGUUGAAGACUGCUCAAUGGGUGAGGAUAAAUCAACGUAUAAAAGCGCGAGAAGGAAAAAUGGCAUGAGUAGGAAGGCUGAACGAGGAGGUCAUGGUGGCUUUGAUCGGAAUGACACCCGCCAGAACGCGUUUGGGAUGAUAGAUGGUGGAAGCCUGAACGCUGAAAAAAAGUUUUCGAAGAUGAAAAGUACUUCCACACCUCAAACUUCAUUCAUUAGGAAGCAGGUUGAUCCCGAAACAACAAAAUACUUCACAGAGAUUUCUAAUUUAUUUGAAAGUGAUACGGUUGAUUUUGAAGAACGAUCGGUUAUAUGUGGUAAUGCUCUAGCGGAAGCUGAGGGGAAGGAAUUCGAACUUGCCACUGAUUAUAUCCUAAGUCACACUAUGCAAAGUCUUCUUGAAGGCUGUAAUGUUGGUGACCUUUGCAAUUUCCUCCACGGCUGUGCCAAGCAGUUUCCAUCUAUUGCCAUGGAUAGAUCUGGCUCACAUGUUGUUGAAACAGCUAUCAAGUCUUUAGCUAUGCACCUACAAGACAAAGAUGUUUAUCCUUUGGUUGAAGAUACGUUAACUGUGAUAUGUAAGGAAAUUGUAUCCAAUCCUCUGGAUGUGAUGUGUAACUGCUAUGGUUCUCAUGUUCUCCGUAGCCUUCUUCAUCUCUGUAAAGGAGUAAGUCUAGAGUCUUCAGAGUUUCAUAGCAGAAAAUCAUCUAAAGUGCUAGCAGAGCGGUUGAAUAUCAAGGCACCUCGGCCUAAUGAAGAUAGUGGAUUCCAUAUAGGCUUCCCGGAAUCACUGAAGCUGCUUGUCUUUGGGUUGCUAAAGGGUGCAAGAAAAGAUGUCAGGAUCCUGCAAGUUGAUCAGUUCGGCAGUUUGGUUAUUCAGACUAUUCUGAAGUCAUUGGUGGGGCAAGACGAUGAGCUCAGUCAUAUAAUUCCCAUCCUCCUUGGCUGUAGCGAGAAAGAUUCUGUUGAAGGAAAUUAUAUACAAAUAUCUGUUGUUCGAGAUGUUAUAAAUUUGAUGAAAGAGACCGCCUUUAGUCAUUUAAUGGAGGUGAUUUUGGAAGUGGCUCCAGAAAACAUAUUCAAUGAACUCUUCACAAUAGUUUUCAAGAAUUCAUUGCUCGAGUUGUCAUCUCAUCCCUGUGGAAACUUUGCUGUCCAAGCACUAAUUUCUAACAUAAAAUAUAAACAUCAAAUGGAGUUGCUAUGGUCAGAAAUUGGAACAAAAGUUGGAGAUCUUCUUGAUAUGGGAAGGUCAGGAGUUGUCGCUUCUCUAAUUGCUGCAAGUCAGAGGCUUCAAACACAUGAGCAGAAGUGUUGUGAAGCUCUUGUUCGUGCUGUAUGUUCAACUGAUGAAUCUCCAGGAUGCAUUAUUCCUCGAAUAUUGUAUGUUGACAGAUAUUUCUCAUGUGGAGAUAAAGCCAAAUGGGAUUUUCCUAGUGGAGUUAAAAUACAUGUCAUGGGCUCUCUAAUCCUGCAGACAGUUUUUCGUUAUCGAAGUGAACUGAUUCAACUUUUCAUUACAAGUAUCACAUCAAUGGAAUCCAAUCAUCUUCUUGAAGUAGCAAAAGACUCCAGUGGAGCUCGUGUUAUUGAAGCUUUUUUAAAUUCUGACGCCCCUGCAAAACUGAAGCGCAGAUUAGUUAUGAAGCUACGAGGACAUUUUGGAGAGCUUGCAAUGCAGUCAUCAAGUUCCUUUACAGUUGAAAAGUGCUAUAAUUCCAGUAACUUGUCUCUACGGGAGGCCAUUGUUUCUGAGUUGGCAGCUUUACAAAGCGAUCUCUCCAAAACCAAGCAAGGAACUCAUCUCUUGAGGAAGUUGGAUGUUGAAGGGUAUGCAUCCCGACCUGACCAAUGGAGGUCAAAACAAGCAUCAAGGGAAUCAGCUUACAAAGAAUUUCAUGAUACAUUCGGGUCUGGAAGAUCCAAAUCACUGAAGACUGAGUUCCUUGCCGAUAGUUCGAAGCAUACAUCACGCCCAAAGGAUGUGAAGACAAUUAUGCAAGAGAUUGGGCAUCACCCAACUUCUGACAUCCCUUUUCUAUCAAUGUCUGGCUUCAAGGGCAAGUCAGAAAAGGGCAAGCAGGGUGGUAAAACAUAUUCCAGACCUUCCACAGAUAAUAAUAUUUUUGAUGGGAGAAAGAAAAGUUCCAAACGGAAACGGAAUAACGAUCAGUCUGAGAAUGCUGAGGCAGGCAAAAGGAAACGGAAAGUGUAGCUACGAUCCCAAACCAAUCCUUGUACACUGCAGCAGUCGCAAAAGCAUUGACUGGCAAAAAAAGUCUUAAAAAAUAAGCUGUAGGAAGUGCAGUAAAUUGUAGCUUAGGAGUUUUCACCAGGAAAGUGGGAACUUGAUGAUGAUGUGGAUUGUCUAUUUUUAGAUACAGUUUUUGGAGUUGUGGCAUAGGCUUUCAAGCAAUAUAGAGGAAAUUUCCUUUCUUUUUUUGGUGGGGUGGGAGAAGAUAUUCUGAUGCAGCAUAUACCACACAAGAUCUUGGAAGUGACCAGGCCAAUAUUAGAGAAUUAUGAGAGGUCAGUAAUCAAAGCUUUCUCCUGGAAAAUAUGGUUCUUCCUGUCGGAUAUCUCUUGUAUCUUUCUGCCAACCACACCUAAAUUCACUGUCCAAGAUUUUGCUGUCUGUUAAGUGCAACAAGAGAUGGCCACAACUCAUUCUGAAUCAAAUUCACUUUUGUCUCUCUUGUCUCUGUCUCCCUGUACGACGAUUAAUCCGGGUUUUUCAAUGGCAACAGCCGGACUAUGGAGGUCACAGUCUCUGGCUUGGAACAAAGAAUGAUAUAUUCAGGGAAGUGAGAUUGUUGCCGAUUCUUCUCUCUCUGCUCAGAAGCCUUUUCAACGUUUUCAAUCUGGAUGUCACCACUGAUUUCAUCUCUUCACCGGCGGAACGGCCGCUGGUGCCGGAGGAC
Molecule: RNA transcript, 3145 nt
Organism: Cucurbita moschata (crookneck pumpkin)
Lineage: Eukaryota; Viridiplantae; Streptophyta; Magnoliopsida; Cucurbitales; Cucurbitaceae
Gene name: pumilio homolog 23-like
Exons: 14
Source: RefSeq, a predicted model, not a curated record